UACGUAGGGUGCGAGCGUUAAUCGGAAUUACUGGGCGUAAAGCGUGCGCAGGCGGUUCGUUAAGUCAGAUGUGAAAGCCCCGGGCUCAACCUGGGAACUGCAUUUGAAACUGGCGGGCUUGAGUGUGGCAGAGGGGGGUGGAAUUCCGCGUGUAGCAGUGAAAUGCGUAGAUAUCUGGAGGAACACCGGUGGCGAAGGCGGCAUCCUGGACCAAUACUGACGCUGAGGAGCGAAAGCCAGGGGAGCAAACAGG
This 253-nucleotide ribosomal RNA is filed under the name uncultured bacterium. Its description in RNAcentral is "partial 16S ribosomal RNA". It matches the Rfam family "Bacterial small subunit ribosomal RNA", at positions 524 to 776 of the family's 1533-position model. The record is from RNAcentral.